UUGGUAUCUGGCUUAAUUGCUUUAUGUUGAUUCAUGAAAUCAGCCACUGUGGACCACAAAUCGUUGUUUAUACGGACAAAGCUAUUAUCCUUGCAAAUUCUAAUCUCAGUAGUAUUCGUUGCUUUCUCGUAAUGUAUAAUUCGUGCCAAAGGACCUGUUAAAAUUCCAAGUAUAGAAUAUCUCCCAGGUUUUUUCGCUGAAUCUAAAAAGCAAAUUGGAUUCCCGCUUUUUUGAAUACAAUCAGCUAACGCUAGUGGUUCAACCCAAGGGAUUUCAACACUGUGAAUUUGAAGAGAGGGAGAACCACUUUUAAGAAUGAAUGCAGCCGGAGAAAUAUCAUACCGAUUAAGAUUAUGCGAGAA
Non-coding RNA from Schizosaccharomyces pombe (fission yeast), 362 nucleotides. The record is from the annotation of a GenBank genome assembly. NCBI's taxonomy places the organism in Eukaryota, Fungi, Ascomycota, Schizosaccharomycetes, Schizosaccharomycetales, Schizosaccharomycetaceae.